GGCGGUGACACACGCGGACGCCGGGGAGCUCCUCGCCCAGAAACAAAGUCGCAUACCCCCCUCCCAAGUGUUUGCUUCGAAAUCGCUGCGUACAGCCCCCCCCCCCCCCCCGCCCGUCUUGCCGAGCAGCUCCCGCCCCCCUAACCCGAAAGUUUGCAAGAGGAAGAGAGCGCGCGGCGAACAAGCGGGCAAGGGGCAGCGGCAGCGGCGCCGCCAGGGACCAUGGUGCUGCCGGCGCCUCCUCCGCGGGCGUGAAGGCGGCGCUCCCACUCUCCCCUCGGACUCCGCGGUGUCCCAGGAGCUUCUGCUGACAAUUCCAGUUUCCACACGCAACAUUUGGGCAAUGGUGAGGGCUUCGGUCCCUUCUUUGGUUUGCUGUCAACCAUGAAUGGAUGGAUUUGAUGCCUGCUGGCCAAAAGGGUGAGUGAACAUUUAUGAUUAUUCGUCUGAAAAUUCACCAGACCAAACGUCAGCUCAAAGGGGUCCUACCCAGUGCAGGAAACUGAAACAGCCCCAAGUGCAUCAGAACAAUUACACUGAAGAUGAGAGACUCGCAUUUUGAAAUAAGAGACACCCUGUCAUUGCUUUCUGCUACAACCUUUCCGGAUAACUCAUACAGUGAUCUGAGGGUUUAUGAAAGGCCUGAUAGGACACGGGAGAAUUUUUGUUUGCAUGACUCUCUUACGCAUACUCUGAAGGGUGAACUACCAAAAUUUUGAGCUACAUGUACAAUUGGAAGGGUAGUUGCUUUUUUGGUCCCGUUAAACCUUGGCGAUGAAAUGAACCACCAUGAAAUAAGAUGGUAGUUGGAUAAAUAAGACAUCUGAAGUCAUGGUGGGGGGCGGAUUUAAGUCUGCUUUGUUCACUGAGAAGGUCCCCUCCCAAGCCUUCCACGUGAUUAGGGCUCUUGAGAAAGCUAAGGGAUUGGGAACUGUGGACUCUCAAAGGUUCUCAGAAAGACUUACACACAUUUUCUUCUAUCGUAUUUCUCCUUAUCAGGUUAUUCAUUGUAAUUUUUAAGGGGAGGUUAGAAAGGGAUGUGAUGUUUUUCUGUCAUAUGCGUUUUCCAUAUUUGAUAGUAUCUCACGUUCCUCAGAAAUCGCUGGCUCCCCUGCAGUAAUGAAUGAACAGUUGUGACUUGCCUUUAUCAGAGACAGUAGAUGGUUGAGGCCAGGUGUAUUGGGCAAAAACUGAGAUCAUUUGGUGGUAGCUUUGUCAUAAAAUGAGGUAAACUUUAUGCAGACCCAUUUAGUUUCAGUUUUGUACUGCAUGGCCUUUCACGAUAAGAACCAUUGGCAUAAAAUCAUCUUGUUUGUCAUAGUGGAGUUGAUUUCAAAACAGAUUCUAUUUAAUGGAGGAAAGGAUAGUGAAGGAGAAAGCAUUUUUGGAAAUUGGGAGGCA
This 1401-nucleotide long non-coding RNA is filed under the name Sus scrofa (pig). RNAcentral's name for it is "lncRNA (ENSSSCG00040040707.1)". Lineage: Eukaryota; Metazoa; Chordata; Mammalia; Artiodactyla; Suidae. The record is from RNAcentral.